RNAcentral lists this ribosomal RNA (253 nucleotides) under uncultured bacterium. RNAcentral describes it as "partial 16S ribosomal RNA". It matches the Rfam family "Bacterial small subunit ribosomal RNA", at positions 524 to 776 of the family's 1533-position model. The record is from RNAcentral.
UACGUAGGAUGCAAGCGUUGUCCGGAUUUACUGGGCGUAAAGCGCGCGCAGGCGGCACAUCAAGUAAGGUGUGAAAUAUCCCGGCUCAACCGGGAGGGUGCACUUUAGACUGAUGAGCUUGAGGUCGGUAGAGGGGGGUGGAAUUGCUGGUGUAGCGGUGAAAUGCGUAGAGAUCAGCAGGAACACCCGUGGCGAAGGCGGCCCCCUGGGCCGUACCUGACGCUGAGGCGCGAAGGCUAGGGGAGCGAACGGG